Molecule: long non-coding RNA, 608 nt
Organism: Plodia interpunctella (Indianmeal moth)
Lineage: Eukaryota; Metazoa; Arthropoda; Insecta; Lepidoptera; Pyralidae
Exons: 2
Source: RefSeq, a predicted model, not a curated record
UAUUAAUCUUCUAGUACUUUUGAUGGGUUUUUAUAAUCGCUUCUUCGCGCACGUACCUAACCACAUACAUAGAUAGUCUAACCAGUAAGUGGGUGUCUUAAUACUAGUUGGCGAUAGUAAAUAUAGAUCUAUUUUUCAUUGGUUUUGAACUCACAAUACCUAUUUUCUGUGUUUCAAGGAUAAUACUUUUUACCCUAACCUCUAUAUAAAAAUAUAUACCCAAUAUUGAUUAUAAUAUUAUGUUCUUAACCUUUCCCUAGGCAGUGGAUACCAGGAUGUGAUGUUUGGCUCAUUUCUGGUCAAGACCCUCCAGACAUAAACAAGGAAAUAGCACCCAACGAAGAUGAUGCUGAACUCCCACAUAUGACAAUUUUCACUGAAUUCGGUGAUUUGAAUCUAAGGCAAAAAAUCACAGUAUUUAAAAAAUUUGUAUCAUUGCCAGAGUUUGAACAGUGCCCUUUCAAAGUGACUAUGGAAAGCAAUUUGCCUAAGUUUGUGGUGCCUUUAGACGACGACGACAAGGACAGUAUGGUCACACACAUAGACGAUAUGGAUAAUUCGGAUGUAGAAACUGAAAGUUAAUGAAUAAAACUGUUUAUAAGGAUAAA